CGUAGGGUGCAAGCGUUACUCGGAAUUAUUGGGCGUAAAGCGCGUGUAGGCGGUUCUGUAAGUCUGAUGUGAAAGCCCGAAACUCAAUUUCGGAAGUGCAUUGGAUACUGCAGGACUAGAGUAUCGGAGGGGUCGACGGAAUUCCUGGUGUAGAGGUGAAAUUCGUAGAUAUAAGGAGGAACAACAGUGGCGAAGGCGGUUGACUGGACGAUUACUGACGCUGAGACGCGACAGUGUGGGGAGCAAACAGGAUUAGAUACCCUGGUAGUCCACACCGUAAACGAUGGGUACUAGUUGUCGCACGUUCUUACCCGUGCGGUGACGCAGCUAACGCGCUAAGUACCCCGCCUGGGAAGUACGGUCGCAAGAUUA
Molecule: ribosomal RNA, 372 nt
Filed under: uncultured organism
Description: bacterial SSU rRNA
Rfam family: Bacterial small subunit ribosomal RNA
Source: RNAcentral